This 527-nucleotide ribosomal RNA is filed under the name uncultured bacterium. Its description in RNAcentral is "bacterial SSU rRNA". It matches the Rfam family "Bacterial small subunit ribosomal RNA", at positions 355 to 896 of the family's 1533-position model. The record is from RNAcentral.
UGGGGAAUCUUGCACAAUGGGCGAAAGCCUGAUGCAGCGACGCCGCGUGCGGGAUGACGGCCUUCGGGUUGUAAACCGCUUUCAGCAGGGACGAAAAUGACGGUACCUGCAGAAGAAGCCCCGGCCAACUACGUGCCAGCAGCCGCGGUAAUACGUAGGGGGCGAGCGUUGUCCGGAUUUAUUGGGCGUAAAGAGCUCGUAGGCGGUUUGGUAAGUCGGAUGUGAAAUCUCCACGCUCAACGUGGAGGGGCCAUUCGGUACUGCCAUGACUAGAGUCCGGUAGAGGAAUGUGGAAUUCCCGGUGUAGCGGUGAAAUGCGCAGAGAUCGGGAGGAACACCCGUAGCGAAGGCGGCAUUCUGGGCCGGUACUGACGCUGAGGAGCGAAAGCGUGGGGAGCGAACAGGAUUAGAUACCCUGGUAGUCCACGCCGUAAACGUUGGGCACUAGGUGUGGGGCGCUAUCGACGCGUUCCGUGCCGUAGCUAACGCAUUAGGUGCCCCGCCUGGGGAGUACGGCCGCAAGGCUA